CUUUAAGUUUUGGGUUAUUUUUGUGCAAAUCGCCUCUCUUCGCCUGCUGCCGCCGCUUAUCGCCUCCACGCGAGCCCUCCUCCCGCCGCCGCCACGGCUCUCUGUCCUGCUCCCCCAAACCUCAUCACUCCUCCCCCUCGCAGCGUGGCGGCCUCGGCCUGCAACGAGGAUGAGGAUGGCGCAGGCGCCAGCUCUCACGAGCGCGAGUCUCACAGCCAUGGCGCUUCCGAGUACUGCUACGGAGGAGGCCAUGGAAGAGCCGGUGCUACGGCGACUCGCUGGUGCCAGAUCUUCAGAAAGAGAGGACGAGGGAGGCCUCGGCAGGGGCUACUCAUCAGGCAGCACUACAGGGACAGCAUGCCGUAUGCGAAGACUCUCCUCCACAGCUUCUAAGUCGCUUCAGUGGGAUCCCCGAGAAAGAAAGAAUAUGAAGGAUCUAGAGGAGGAGUUUGAUGAUUGAGGAGCCAAGCCCACAAGACCAACAAAUUCAAGCCAGGAGAAGAUGAGAUUUGUGUUUAUUUGCUGCAAGGAGACGAUGUUCAUCUUUUUGAGUUUUUGGUUGAUUUUUUUCCACAGGUUUACGAUACCAAGAGGUCUACCUAAAAGGGGUGCUCAACUCACACCUAAGAACAUCAAGAAGCAGAACUGGUUCAUGAAUCAUAUGAAGACAUGUACCCAGGCAAAAUCAAGGACAAGGUGUGCUCUAAUCUGACCCCAUGUAGCCUGCCAUAAUGAUGGAAGUGCUUGUGAUGAAAUGUGUCACUCUUUUCUCUGAGAAUUUAACAAGAACUGUGUGCUUUUCUCCAUGGAUGAAGACUAUUUGGCGAGGAGACACCGCCUUUCCUUGCAGCUUUGGGCGCUUUUGUGGUCGCACAAGUUGCCGCCCUGCACCAAUUUUAGGUUAUCUGUUGGUAUAAUAUUUUUCACCUCACUUCUACAUCUCUAGGCCAGCCAUAGUUUUGGGAGUUGGCCAUUACUGUCAAAAACUUGGUUGUUUGGGCAUGUCAUGAAGUAGGACUAUUAUGGUUUAGAUGUUUGCUUCAUGCCACCGGCCUUUUGUUGCAAUUCUUACAGUUGAUUAAAAUUGUAGUGCUCUUUUCUUUUAUCAUGAUAUGGUUACUGUUUAGUUUCUGAAUUAUACAUUUGGAUUUGUAGUUCUUAUGAGGUAUUGGAUUUAUAUCAGAUCAAAAUUUCACUUGUUACACUUUAUAUUUUCUAUUAUUUCUCAUAUGCCUUUUAAUGUUCCUCUUUACUGAUAAAUAAAUUGCUACCUUUCCAUAUUAAUUUAAUAUUUCAUUCAGUUUAUGUAUUGAUACAAAAUUUUCCUUUCAGCAACAGCGAGACAAGCAAGAACACAGCCUCCAAAUGUAGCUCUCUCUCUCUCUCUCUCUCUCUCUCUCUCUCUCUCUCUCUCUCUCUCUCUCUCUCUCCCCUGUGGACAGCCUAUUAUAUAUUUAAUAGAUAUACCAGUGUCGAUUGACAUAUUUUCUCAUAUAGGUUGGUCUUUAUUUGUGCUCUAAUAUGCACAGGUGCAUAAGUUUUGUCAAGAUACCAGCAGGAUUGGCUGGGUAGGUUCUGAUGGAGUCAUGGAAUAUGUAACAACAUUGCCUGUAAGCUCCGCUAUGGGAAUUUAUUGUGACAGCAGAUUCAACUUUAACUUUGACUAAUCCUCCUUAUUACCAUCUCUUCUUCUCAAAUCCAGGCUAUGUUUCGCAAUGUAGUAGGCCUAUUAUAUGUAUGGUCUCCUUGAUUUGGUGAUUUACCUUUUACUUGGUUAAUUGUAGUUCGAUGGUCUGGGAGAUACUUAUAUAUACUCUGAAACUCUGCACCUGUUUUUUCAGAAAUUUUAUCUACAUCUUUACGGGAAGGUAUCAUAUUAUUUUUUAAUUCAUUUUCUUAUAUGACUUCUCUCAACUGAUUAAAGCUGAAUUACUUGCUCUUGUAUUAUAUUUAACCACUUAACGGUAUUUGUAUUGUAUUUAACCACUUAACGGUAUUUUUGCUGCAUGGAUUUGUCCCAAAAGCUGAUUUCUCAUUAUCUCCAUUUUGAUUCAAUGCUAUCAAGGAUUCUAACAAAACUAGAGCCAGAUAUGUAUGAGUGCAUAAUUACACGGCUACCAAACAGUCAUACCCUAAUGCAUUCUUAGAGGAAACCCCCAGAGUUGAUCUUCCAUAUCCGUAUAAAAGCUAAGAUGCUAAAUGAUAAGAUCUAUAUAUGUUCAGAUGCCCUGUUCUUAAAGUUACCCUCCACAUGUCGUAGUGUCAUUUCCGCCGAUAAUAAGGUGUUGGUUUAUUGCUUGACAAUCAUAUAGUUUAUCCAAUUGUGCAUCAGGCUGUAGGCUAAUUUUGUACAUGGUAUGCCUCAAAGUGAAUAUCACCAUAUAACUCUGUUGAUAAUAAUACGGUUGUUUUCUGCAGUUUACAUUAGAUCUUUCAUAUUGAAUAGAUCAUUGAUGUUGGUUUAAGGUUUCUCGACCGCUGUAUUAAUUGAUUUUCUAUGAUGUCGAUUGUUAUAGUGAUAAAUUUAUUUGCUGUGAUGCGAUACCCAAAUAAUCUUUUAUCUUUCACAAGUAGAAACUGAUAUGCCACUUUAUUUGGAUUUUUUCUCAUCUGUAGUACACAAUAGUGUAGGUAUUUGUUUGUACUGAAACUUUGUUUUCUUGUAGGAUCAAAUGAGUAUGAAACAACACAGUUAUGGUGAUCCCUAGAGCCCUAAUUGUGAGCUUACUUCCACGUCAAAAAUCAGGUAAUAUAGCUAUAUAUUGUAUUUUGUUGCUUAUUUCUUAUGCUGAAAGUGAUCGAAACAUAUGAUUUAGUCUAUUGCUGGUUUGCCAUGUUGUGUGAGGUAGUUCCUUGCCAUUGCCCCAUUGUGAUCUUUAGUUCCCACGCAAGCGACCAAUAGCUAUUAUGUAUAUUUAGUAGCACGUAAAGGCUAUUCUAUUAUUUAAGUCAUGCUUACUGAAAAUGCAAUGCAUUUCAAGCCGUGAUUUGUAUUGUUAGCCUGCUAUUUUUCAUUUCAGUUGUGGAUUAUCGUAGGGACAAGGUGUGGCUUCCUUGGUGGCUAUACUCUUUCCCUUACUGUUAACCUAUGGUUGCAUUUACUGUUUAGAAUGGAAACUAUUUAUUGUAAAUCCAGUAUAGCCGUAGAUCUUGAAUAUUUUUGUCCAUUGCCCACUUAAUUAUGUUUUGUUUCCUCUUUUAUCCAUGAAAUAGAUGUACUCCAAAUAGGAUAAUUUCUUUGUGCUUGUUGAUUCUUGUUUGACACUGAUGCAGAUAUGGCUAGCUGUGAUGUGCAUGAACCAUCAUUUGUUAAAUCAUGCGGGUAAAUUUAAUUUAUUGGAAUUUUUCUUUAGCAAGACGUGGCUGGUUGUGGGGUUUGAGAUGAUUUUUAUAUCAAAAUGCACAAGAGAGCAAUCAGCUUAGUUUAGCUUGCCGGAUUUGCUCCAGUGAAGGUCUGCAGUACCAUAAUCACCAGGUCAACACACACGUUUCUUUUUGUGCUAACGUAUCCUUUUGAUGUAAAUUAAGUACAUAUUGGAACCUCCGACUGAUAGAAUCGUGAACAAAAUAUAUUGUCGUGUCUCUACUCCCUACUGUGUAGUCUAACUAUGAACCAAACGUUUGUAUAACAUGGAAAUUGUUCAGAUUCUCAAGCUACCGAAAAGAGAUACCUUAUACAUGCCAGAUGGAAUCCUAAUCAGUGAGGACUCUAAUGCUUGGAUCUGAUGAUGGUUCUAUGAGCGAACAACUUCAGUGGCACAUGUGAUGUUAUUUUGAUCUAAGAUUCCAUCAAAAGUGCAAAAUCUGUCUUAGCGUGGAAAAGACUGCAGAGCUCUCUUGUCUGAGGUUGGAGCAGGAGCCUCUUAUGCCCUGGAACGUUAAAUGCAUAUUUUUUCUCCUUUAGAUUUUUAUUCAUCGAGUGUACCCACAUGGUAUGCCAUAAUAAGGAUUAGCUUUUACUUCAAUGUUGUAAAAUUACCAAAUAUUUGUACUACCUAUUAA
This is a non-coding RNA of Lolium perenne, 4002 nucleotides long. The record is from RefSeq and is a predicted model, not a curated record. Lineage: Eukaryota; Viridiplantae; Streptophyta; Magnoliopsida; Poales; Poaceae.